This 496-nucleotide ribosomal RNA is filed under the name uncultured bacterium. Its description in RNAcentral is "partial 16S ribosomal RNA". It matches the Rfam family "Bacterial small subunit ribosomal RNA", at positions 29 to 523 of the family's 1533-position model. The record is from RNAcentral.
AUUGAACGCUGGCGGCAUGCCUAACACAUGCAAGUCGCACGCGAAAGGGGGCAACCCUGAGUAGAGUGGCGGACGGGUGAGUAACGCGUAGGAAUCUACCUGGUAGUGGGGGACAACCCGGUGAAAACCGGGCUAAUACCGCAUACGAUCCACGGAUGAAAGCAGGGGACCGCAAGGCCUGGCGCUAUCAGAUGAGCCUGCGUCGGAUUAGCUAGCUGGUGGGGUAAAGGCCCACCAGGGCGACGAUCCGUAGCUGGUUUGAGAGAACGACCAGCCACACUGGGACUGAGACACGGCCCAGACUCCUACGGGAGGCAGCAGUGGGGAAUAUUGGACAAUGGGGGCAACCCUGAUCCAGCAAUGCCGCGUGUGUGAAGAAGGCCUUCGGGUUGUAAAGCACUUUCGGUGGGGACAAACAAGGUGGAGCUAACAUCUCCGCCUCUGAUGGUACCCAAAGAAGAAGCACCGGCUAACUCUGUGCCAGCAGCCGCCGUAA